AUACGUAGGGAGCGAGCGUUGUCCGGAUUUAUUGGGUUUAAAGGGUGCGCAGGCGGCCAUUUAAGUCAGCGGUUAAAUCGUGGGGCUCAACCCCAUUCUGCCGUUGAUACUGGGUGGCUUGAUUGCGGUCGAGGUUGGCGGAAUUCGUUGUGUAGCGGUGAAAUGCAUAGAUAUGACGAAGAACACCGAUUGCGUAGGCAGCUGACCAGACCGCAAAUGACGCUCAUGCACGAAAGUGCGGGGAUCGAACAGGAUUAGAUACCCUGGUAGUCCGCACAGUAAACGAUGAAUACUUGUUUUCGGCGAUAUAAUGUCGGAGGCAAAGCGAAAGCGAUAAGUAUUCCACCUGGGGAGUACGCCGGCAACGGUGAAACUCAAAUGAAUUGACGGGG
This 392-nucleotide ribosomal RNA is filed under the name uncultured bacterium. RNAcentral describes it as "partial 16S ribosomal RNA". It matches the Rfam family "Bacterial small subunit ribosomal RNA", at positions 523 to 918 of the family's 1533-position model. The record is from RNAcentral.